GUCUCACUGUCCUUGACCUACGGAUUAUGCAAUAAAUGUAAAUAUAAAAAGAAACCUAUCUUUGACUUUACUUGGAAAUGGAAAUCCAUUUCUUUACACCGUCUAGAACCGGAUUAGCUGCUUUCCUAUCUAUAUCCUUGUUUUAUUUUUAGAACAAAUGUACGUGGUUUCUAGUGGUGAAGAAUAAAAGGAAGCCACUGUGUGUCUCUUCAUUUCGAAGAACUUGCUCCGGGUAUAAGUUGCAAUCUUCUUGCGCAACACAAGACUUUUUUGGAAAGAGGGUCUAAACGAGAAUUGCAGAGUGAUAAUGACCAGUGAGGAGGGUGAAGAAGAAGAAGAUGAUGAUGCGGAUGAAGACAUGUACUGAAGGUUUGCUGCCAAGGGCAAACCCAGAAGAAGAACCAAUAGAUUAGUUGCACCCGCGUCAUGGUUGAGCUGUGCAUCUUCAUGAAAAAAAGAACCACGGCAACAUUUUGCCAUUCUGUCCUUGCAGAUGAUUUUGGUUCUUUUCCAGGAUGAAAACACAGCCACUAUGAAUUUUAGAGGGGAUGUUACACGGUGUUAUGUGCCGUGUCACAACAAUACCUGCUGAUGUAAAAGUAGGCUACAUUGUAUUCAUAUCUCUGGAUGAGAUAUUCUUAUACAUUGUGCCAUAAAAAAAAAAAAAAACUCUAGAUGGGCUUGUAUAUUCUCCAUUGAUGAAGCGAUGGAUUGGACUCCGAUGUUGACUUCACGUCACGUCCGAGAUGAAUUCUCCUGCCCUGCGCCCAGCGCUACUGAGAUUGACCCUGCAUCCACGACGCCCUUGACUAGGAUGAAGCGGAUACUGAAGUGAAUGAAUGACUGAAUUAAUUCAUUACUUUCCCAAAAGAAACUCAAAUACAUUUAACCCAAUGUACUGUAAAAUUUGUGUAGAGUCUAAGAGUGAAAUCGAUAAGAUGUAAUCUCCUUAACACGCAUUCAGAAAAAUAAAUAAACAAAAUCAGGAAAAUAGACAAGCCUAUAUUGGCCAAUUUGCUCGAAUGGCAACUCGCUUAAGAUAAGUGCAGUCCUUAUGUGCAAUUGGUUAUUUACUGGUCAUUAAUAAGCCAGUAGCUUAGACACCUUUAUGUCUAGCAUUUCCACAUAAUUGGAUGGUAGAUGGUGUCUCAGUACUAAUACACAAUUACUGCUGAAUAAGGCAGACUAGAGACCGGAUUACUGUCUACUAGUGAAGUCUUCAGUAGCUAUGCAUGUGUUAACAGUUGUAGAUUUUGUACCUUAAUUACAACUCACUAACAAUAAUUGUUACUGGUUGUAAAGAGUACAACCCUACAACAACUUAUAUUAAUGAUCAAUGCAACAGAUUACACUAUACCAGUAUUGGCAAAGAGGCAAAUCCUCCGAGCCUAGUGCUGAGAAUAGCUGUUGCCAGUGGUUGUUAAGUAUUUAAGUUUGGAUGAGAUUGUUAUGGGGAAAUAUGUGACCUAUUUAUGUGUGUGUAUAUAUGUAUUUCUGAUAUAUACUGUAUGUAUUUAUAGAUUAGUCACUCCAUAAUAUCCAGUCCAGUCCAGCAGGUACCUCAUAUACUGUAAACUGUACAGUCAUUUAUGUUAAUAAUGUAAAUGAAAAACAGGAAAAUGUUUUGAUUGCGCUGAAUCAAUAUUGACCGGCAUCCUGUCCAGGGUGUACCCCGCCUUGUGCCCGAUGCUCCCUGGGAUAGGCUCCAGGUUCCCUGUGACCCUGGAAAGGAGUAAACGGUAGAAGAUGGAUGGAUGGAUGGAUGGAUGGAUUAAUUAAUAUUGAUUAUGUACAAUGACAAAACAUUCAAGCUAACAAUCUAUUGGUAUUUUUAUGCAUUUGACUUGGUUGUGUUACUUGGGGCCAUCACAUGAUUGACUCGUGAUAAUUGCGGGAAGGGUGCACUUUCGAUCUAAAAUAUAAAGUAUAUGCUCAUGAGCAUCUUUAUACCAUUCAUGUAAUCUAAGGAAAUCACAAACAUACAAAUUCUAACACCAGUUCCUUUAUUUAUGUGCAUGUCUGAAACGAGGUCUGCUGAUUCGAAUGUCAAUCUGAGUUACACAUAAAACUCCCGAAUUAUUUUGAACAUUUUCCUUGAAUGAAUUCAUGUGUUAAAUAAAUGAAUUAUUGUUCAGGAAUAAACAUUACGUUAACCCAUUUGUGUGCUUUGCUGUCCUCAUGCUGUUUAAUAUCACAUCAUAGAGCUAGUGUUGGUUUAGUAUGGGGGAAACAUUGGGAAUGGCCUCAUGAUUCCUACACAUGAGUCCUACACAGUAUUAAAAAUGCCCUAUUUUAGUAUUUCACUAUACGUAAACAUGUUUUAUUAAUGGGUGUAAUAGGUCAAAGCAAUAAUGGCAAUACUCGCAGAACUAAUUUUACAUUCAGUGAGAACAUAUCUCUAAGUUUCACUUUCCUUUACAUGGAAAUGCACUUGAGCACAUUUGAAAAGGUUGGGCAGUAAGAUAAUGUGGGGGUGGUUCCAGUGCUAGAGAGGAAAAGGAAAAGACUGUGUGUCUCUCUUCAUUUUGGAGGACCUGCCCUGGACGUUAUCUACAGUGUUCUGGCGAAACACGAGACUUGGUGUAAAUAAGCAGAUCUUCAUAACGAUAAUGGCAGUCGAGGAGGUGGAUGACGAAACCGACGACGAUGACAGACUAUGAGGAAGUUGGCUGGAGGUCUGCUGCCAAGGGUGGACCACAGGAGCUGAACCAAUAGAAGAACAGCGUACGUGUGCGAGAGCGACGUGUCGCUUGGUUGAGCUGUGCGUCCAUGUGAAACCUCGUUGGUGAAUUUCACAACGUAUGCACGUUACCCGUGAACUACUUUGCUUGCUGAAGAGCUUUAUUGCAUAUAGAAAUCUAUGGUAUGUUUACCACUACUACGUCUUUGAAUGAUCUUUUUCUUGUUGUUGUUGUUGUGUUGUGUGAUGUCACUAUGGAGUAAUACUAUAUACAUAAAUAUGUCUCACUGUAUUUCUGAAAAGUCAUGAUCACGUUCCUGAAGCCUAGACAAUGAAACAGAAUUAUUUCCGAGAUACAAGUACUUAUUUAUGACAAGUCAAGUGAAUACAGAACAUGAUGUAUAUGUGUAUCAUCACUGUAUAUGUGUAUUAUUCCUGCAUACAUAUUGUUUUUCCAUAUUUUACUUGGUUGUGUGACUGGGGCCAUGCCAGGCUGGUUGGUCUGAUUGGUGGAAGUGUGCACUUUAAAUCAGGAAGGAACCAUCACGUUCUUGAUGCGUAACCUUUCACUAAAUCUUCAUACACUCUACGAAACUCUCACAGCACAGAAGGGGAAUAAAUCCCUUCCUGUUUUAAAGUGCAUGCUUGGAAUGUAGUCUGUUGUUUUGAAUGCCAGUCUGGGUGGAGUCACACAGAAACACCCCACAUUCUUUCCAUUGUUUUUUUUUUUUUUUUAUUUCCUUUAAUCUGACCCCUUCAUUUAGAUUUGAACAGAACGGACGUGGAGGGUUACUGAAUAAACCGCAGCUUUCCUUGAAA
This is a long non-coding RNA of Ictalurus punctatus (channel catfish), 3499 nucleotides long. RefSeq lists it as uncharacterized. Lineage: Eukaryota; Metazoa; Chordata; Actinopteri; Siluriformes; Ictaluridae. The record is from RefSeq and is a predicted model, not a curated record. The transcript has 3 exons.